This is an RNA transcript of Gallus gallus (chicken), 8891 nucleotides long. It is a transcript of the gene named centrosomal protein 120, with no coding region annotated. The transcript has 25 exons. NCBI's taxonomy places the organism in Eukaryota, Metazoa, Chordata, Aves, Galliformes, Phasianidae. The record is from RefSeq and is a predicted model, not a curated record.
AGGCGGAAGCGCGGCAGUUGGGGCGGGAGGCUGCCGGGCGGUGCGGGCGGCGGUGUGAGGCUGCCUGGCGGUACCGACGGUUCUUUCCGCUCCGUGCCGCGCCAGGAUUGCAGUCGCGCCCGCCGGGCGGAGCGGGGCGAUGGUGUCCAGGGCUGCCGACAGGCUGCUGAUCGUCGUCUCCAUUCUGGAAGGACGCUGUUUUCCAAAACGACCCAAGUACAUGCUUAUAGUUGAAGCCAAGUUUGAUGGAGAACAGCUAGCUACUGAUCCUGUGGAGCAUACUGAUCAGCCAGAAUUUGCCACUGAGCUGGCCUGGGAGCUUGAUCGAAAAGCACUUCAUCAGCACAGGCUACAGCGUACACCUAUCAAGCUCCAGUGUUUUGCAUUGGAUCCCCUGUCUUCGGUUAAAGAGAAUGUAGGCUAUGUCGUGCUUGAUUUAAGGGCUGUGCAGGAAAAGAAACAGACACCAAAAUGGUACUCUUUGCUAAGUAACAAGUAUGCUAAAUUUAAAUCCGAAAUAAAAGUAGGCAUUGUGUUGGAAACUGAUUCCAAAGCACCGGUUGAUGAUUUAAAAGCAAAAGAGGCACCCCCUAGGGAAGGGAGGGCGUCUGCCCUUCUUUCUAGACUAGAUCCUAAAAGUAUUGUGCCAGUCCUGAACGAAGAAGAGGGCUAUCAUCAAAUUGGACCAGCAGAGUAUUGUAGAGACUACUUUGUUUUGUCUGUAACUAUUGCAUUUGCCACACAGUUGGAACAGUUAGUUCCUAGUACUAUGAAGCUUCCUGAACAUCAGCCUGAGUUUUUCUUCUACUACUCAUUAUUGGGAAAUGAUGUAACAAAUGAACCUUUCACUGAUUUGAUUAAUCCAAACUUUGAACCAGAAAGAGCUUCUGUUCGAAUACGUAGUUCAGCUGAUGUCCUUCAAGUUUAUCUUUGUGCACAGUCAAAAUUGCAGAUUCAUCUUUGCUGUGGUGACCAGUCCCUUGGAAGCACUGCAAUACCCCUGUCUGGACUACUGAAGAAGGGAAGCGUGGAGAUUGAUCAGCGCCCUGUGGCAAUAGAAGGAGCAUUUGUCCUUGUUCCACCAAAUAGAGCUAAGCAAAACCUGCCACAGUUACCUCUGGAUAUGGCUCCUACUGUUGGGGUAUCUGUAAUUCUGCAAAAGGAGUGCUUAAAUGUUCAGCCUUUGAUUCCUUCAAAUGUUCCAACUGAACCUAAACAACCAAAGAAGAAAGUUCUUUCACCUACUGGUGGAGAAGCAAAGGGCCUGCAGCAGAGAUCCCAGGAUGUCCCAUCUCAAAUUGACCACUCUUCUCCAAUAGAAGAUGAAGCAACAGAAAGUGAAGCAGAAAGUCUGAAGUCUGAAAAAGGCACAGAGCUAAAGGAAGCUGGGCUAGUGGAUGAGUCUUGCAGAGAUGUUAGCGAGCAGUACACUGAAGAGCUCCCAGUUUUCAAAUCACAGAACAGUACAAAAUCACUGCUGUUGUCAGCAGAUGAUGCUCCAGCAGUUGCACCUCAGCCCAACUCUGUGGGUGCAUCUGGUUGUUCUGAGACUGCAUCAGCACAGAAAGUUCUCAUUCCAGCGGCCUCUCACCAUUUUUGCUUUUCAAUAGACUUACGAAGUGUACGUGGUCUGGAAGUUGGUUUUCCAAUCAACUGCGUUUUAAGGUACUCCUACCCCUUUUUUGGCAGUGCAGCACCUAUUAUGACAAGCCCUCCUAUAGAAAUCAGAAAGAACAUGGAAGUUUUUCUUCCCCAGUCCUACUGUGUAUUUCACUUUGCAACUACACCUCAUCAGCUUCAAGACACGUUUUUCAGGCUACCUCUGCUGGUUGAAUUGUGGCACAAGGACAAAACAACCAAAGACUUGCUUCUAGGGAUUGCAAGACUUCAGCUUUCAAAUGUCUUGACUUCAGAAAAAACACGCUUUUUGGGUGGUAAUGGUGAACAGUGCUGGCGUCAGGCUUACAGUGAAACAGUCAGCGUCACAGCAGCACAAGGGUCAGACACCAGAAUUGCAGAGCUUUUGUAUGCCAUCACUUUGGAAGACUACGGACUUGUGAAAAUCCACGAAGUUCUGGUGUCAGAUUCUUCUCAGUGUGUAGGUGCUGGUCAGCAGCGGCAUGCCACUCACACUCAGCUUCAUUGUGCUUCAGAAAAACAGACAGAACCUCGAGAAACUCUUGAGUACAAAGCGGCACUGGAAUUAGAAUUAUGGAAGGAAAUGCAAGAAGACAUUUUUGAAAAUCAGCUUAAAAAGAAGGAAAUGGCCCGUAUGCAAGCACUUGCAGAGGAAUGGAAGAAAAGAGAUGAAGAGAGAGAAGCACUAGUGAAGAAGAAGGUGGCAGAAUAUACUGCUCUGGAAGAACAGCUUCAGAAAACCCUGAGAGAUCUAGAUAAACGAGAACGGCAGCUUUUGACUGCUGAAUCAGAGAUUCAAAGAGUAAAGAAGGAGUUGCAAGCAGAGCAUGAACAAAAUAAGCAGGAGUUACAGGAUUCUGUGCGGCGAACCAGAGAAGAAUGUGCCCACCAGGUUGAACUAGAAAGAUCAAAAAUCAAGCAGCUGGGAGAAGACAGGCUCCGUAUACAGCAGCAGCUUUAUGAAGCAGAAAAUAAGUACAAAAUUCUGGAGAAGGAGUUCCAGCAAUACAAGGAACAGCAAAGCAGUAAGCCAGAAAUACAGCUACAAUCAGAAAUAAAUCUUCUCACUUUAGAAAAGGCUGAACUUGAAAGAAAGUUGGAGUCAGCUACCAAGUCAAAGCUCCACUACAAACAACAGUGGGCCAGGGCUUUGAAAGAACUUGCGAGGUUAAAACAGCGUGAACAGGAAAGUGCAAUGGCUCGCCUUAAAAAGCAGCAGCAAGAGCUGGAGCACAUGAGGCUGUGCUAUUUGGCAGCAGAAGAAAAAGAGCUGGGGAAAACAGACCGACAAGAGCUGGAGGAUAUCAGAAAUGAACUUAACAGGCUAAAGCAACAAGAAGAGGAGAGAAAGCAGUUUCAAGAUGUUAGAGAUAAUUCUGCAUGUAAAGUGGAUAGCCUUCAUACUAGAAAAUCAAAUGAGAACAUAGAUGAUUAUGUCUCACGUCUGAUGGAGGAGAGGGAUACCUUGUUGAGAACAGGAGUGUAUAAUCACGAAGACCAUAUUGUUAUAUGGCAGUCUUUGGUGCUUGGAACCACGAAACUGAUCAGUUGACUUUCGAAGUUAAUUUCAUUUUUUUCAAUGUCUGAUAGUCUCUUCCAUGAUUUGUACAGGAAGCAGCAGUCACGAUGUGGUAAGAUUGGAAAGAAGUUUUCCUUAUGGCAAAUCAAAGUAUUUAGUAAAAUCGACAGUAUAUCAAUCUCUCCCUCUCUCUCUCUCUCUCUCUCUCUCUCUCUCUCUCUCUCUCUCUUUUUUUUUAACAGGGAAAAAAAUGCCUCAACCUGCUAUUUUAUGCUGUUUGGGUCCACUUUUUCUUCUGGAAGUUCAGUGCUUACAGGAUGACAGGCAUGGGUGUUACAGUGUUUUCCGAACCCCUUAGCAGCUUCUUGGUUACACAGCCAUUACCCUUCAUGUUCAUUCUUUGUAUCAGGAUAAAGUAGUGAACUAUACUUUGGGCUUAAUAUUUCAACUUAAAUUGUGCAGGAAAAGGUUGAGGUCCUUCCUUCUGAAGUAAUGUAGAAAUAAAUAUGUAUGCAUAUUUGUAGCAGAUGGGUAUUGCAGAUGGCAGUUUGGCAUUGCUUUUUUGUGUUUUUACGUUGGGAUUCCAUGGGCUCUUUAUUGCCAUUGUCCUUGGGGGUGAAGCUGUAACUACCGUUUCCAUACUUCAGCAGUUGCCCAACAUCUUCAACCCUAACCUUUUCAGAACUGCUGUUGCAGAGAAGCAGCGAUGUUACGUCUGGCACUGAGUCUCCGAGUGUUCAUUCCACUGCUCUCCUUUGCUGCGAUAUCAAUGCUCCACUCUUCCAUCCUCCGAGAUAAACCUUAAUGCAUAGCUAAAGAUGGAAGUCCUUUAUCAUAUCUCUUAAGUGCUACUGAAGUGUUUAUACCAGUUAUUACAUAUUUACACAGUUAUUUAUUUUGCUACUACCGUGCCCAAAUGAUCGUGACCUGUGUCAAGUCUUGGAUAGGAAGCACCAGCUCUGCUAUUGCUACAGGCAGAGCUGCAGAAAGGCGGCUGCAUACUUAGAUCUCAUUUAAUUUGUUUCCCCGGGGGGUUGUAUUAGUAGUGUUUUCAUUAGAAGUGUUUUUACAGAUGUCAGCUAUCCAGAUAUGAAGUCUCCGUGGUGGAGAAGCAGUCAGGAGUUUGGCAUUCAGAACAGAAAGGAAAAAGUCAACUUUGAGAGGCUAAUCUAUAGAAAAAUAAUUUACUGACUUUCUGAUGCAGAAUUGUGCAGUAACCCCAUGGCAGCUCUAACGUGAGUAAUUGAAGUUUUGCAAGCCGUUAUUUUCUGCUCUUAACUUCAAGAAAGGCUACAGCCUGUUGUUCCUCAUCACCGAAGGCUGAAAUAGUCCUCAUUAACAGCCUUUCUGGAAAAGUGGCAUCCAUUGCUCUGUUGUUUUUUUUUUUUUUUCCCUCCCUCCAACUGGAAUACUUGUAGUCGUUUGACAUCGUUUCAAACAAUUUAUGUUUUGCUACAGAAAGUUUUCUUCUAACAAUAUACACGGCAAGUGGAUGACUGUGCAAGCAUGGUGUUACAGAAUGCUUGGCUGAAAGGGGUUUGAUGAGGCAUAACUGCAUUGACAAAAUAAGGCAUUAACAUUUAAAUGGGCCUGCUUGUAGCAGGAAGGGUAGAGCACAGCCCUGAUGCUGUUCAAGCAGCUACCCUGCAUUGCUCGUAGCUUUGGCUGUUCCCUGAGAAGACGGUGGAAGAACUGUUUUCAGAGUUACGGGUUGCUGUCAUCAGGGCUGCAGUACAGAGAGGAGAGACUGUUUGUCAGGGAGCUCAGUGAAGGUAAAAGAAAGACUUAACACACGUGCUUGAAAUGAGGGCUGCCCAGAGGAGCGUGGGUGGGUGGACCUGGGAUGGGGGUUUGGACAGCGUGAUGGAGUGGGAAGUGUCCCUGCAUGUGACAGAGGGGUUGGAACUGGAUGGUCUUUAAGGUCUCUUCCGACCCAGGCCUUUGUAUGCCUAGAGCAGUGAAAUUAACUCAUCAGGUUUUAGGUUGAGCGGGUUGAGUGGGCGAAUUAAGCUAGUAAACGUUCUUCUAUUUGCUUAAUAGCUUAUUGUAAGUGAGGAGAUUCUGGGUUUUGUUUCUGGAGAUAGAGUAGAAUUGAAUUGUUCUCACGUUAAGAGCCACUGGUUGUACAAGACCCCAAGGCCAUUGGUGUUCUCACCUGAGAAGGCUGUUUUGGGCAAUGGGAUUAUAAUACAGUAGAUGAUGCAGAUGAGGGCUGUAGAGCUCUGUGAGCUAUUAUUUGCUCUAUAAUCGGAGUUACACAUGAAGGUUAGGAAGACCAUUUGUUCCAGGCGUUACACUGACAUGCAGCUUCUCAUCCAAAUCAGUCCAACAACUUCACUGUUUGUUGUUAAAGCUAGCACUUUAAGCCAGUCACACUCAUAGAUUUUCAGGAAUAUUAGUGCCUACUUUGUGUGAACCACUGAGCCCUCCUGCUUCACUGGGAAUCAUUCAAGCAACACUGAGGAUCUUUUAUUUGGACCGUGUAGCAUUUCUGAUGUUUGUACAGCAGUGUAACACUUCCGAUGUGUAUGCAUGUGGUGUUCUGUAUGCUCAGAUUUGUUGGUGCAUCCCGAUUUUUUUCUGGUGAUAAUCCAGUGAUUUCACUGCAGAAAUGGAGCUGAUAACCCAACAUCAACAAGCUAAACAGGAUGUCAAGAUCAAGCCCACCCCACUGCCGGAAGGAAUUGCAGCAAAAUGACAACAACGGGGGAACAGCUACGAAGUUCUGCUGCCCCAGGAAGAAGCUGUGUUGGGCGUGAGGCAGCACUGUCUGCUCCUGCUUCCUUCUCUGUUGGACAGAAUGCAGCUGGAAAUAAGUCUGGAAGGCGCUCACUGUCAUGGGGAACCUCUGCCCCUGCAUGUGUAGCAGCAAGCUCCCAACUGCUCACUGCAGCCACACGGACACACGGUGAAGAGGAAAGCAGAUUUCAACAGCAGGCAGUGAUUUGUCUACGAUGAAAGACAAAAUACGUAUUCGUUAUGUAGUACGCGUGCAUCGCUUCAUAUGCCUUUGUUGAAAGCAAUCUUGAGCAGGGAAUUCAUCCUCUUAAAUAGGUUACUCGGGCCCUUAUUCUGCUUGCUGCCCAUUUUACUGAUCAACUUCAAGACCCAAACAGCUCUUGUGCGCACACUGAGGGUCUGAGAACAGCUACUGAAUCAAACGAGCUGCAAAGCAAUUCCUAAUGGGUUUGGUUCAAGUUUUGUUUUACUUAGACUUGCAAAAUGAGUAGAGAAAACUGACGUUGGGUGCUGUUUUGUUGCAGGAAAUGAGCUCCAUUGUGAAUGAAGUAAUCAGAUGACCCCUGUGCAGUCCGAACACAUACGUAUGUGUUUUUAAACAAGCAGGUGAAGGGGGAAGGUGGUCCCUGGAAUCCACCCCAUUGCUCUGAGGAGCGGAGAGGCUCGUUCUGUCCCGCAGCACUCUCCUGUUGCACCGAGCAGGACUUGAGCAGCUCAGCAUCCAGAUCACUUAAAGUCAUUUUAAGGACGGAACCAAGUUGUCCCUGGGGGGAGGAGAGGCAGCACGACCUGCCCCAGCGUUCGUUUCCCUUACAAAGCUAAAACCAACCACCCAGAAUCCCACUCACUGCCACUUGUGCCUUUCCUUGCUGAGAUUUCUGAAACCUUGCAUUUACUCACCUCAGCCUCAGAAAUGCGUGUUUUCAAAAUGCUGCAACCUCACCUCCCUCCUCCAGCUCCAAUUUUGUUAUCACGGUAUCUAUUUUAAUGGCUAUUAAGCUGCAGUGUCCGUGCCUUAUCUUUGUCAGUUAAUGUAUCUAAUUCCACCAUCCCAGAGGGAAUAAACCUGAAGCUAAAGCCUGCAAUAUAUUAAAGAAUCAAGAACGCUUAUGCAGAACAAACAGAGGAUUUAGCUUGGAUAAACAGCAGAGAGCUCAGUGUCUUUUAUGUCCAGGGCUCAGGACUGGAAGAAGAAAAUGACUAUAAAUCAUCCCUGUGAAACAACAUAACAUAAAUGUUGUAUGUUUAUUUAAAACUUUAUACAAUCAUUUAUCUGGGCUAUAGCUCAGUUUCAAAAAGUGCUCUGCUGUAAUGAGGUACUGAGACUAGCAGUGAUCAAGAGUGAAAUGAUAUAUGGUCUUCAGCCAGAAUUUGCUUAUGGGAAGAAUGGAAAGCACUUAGGCAGACACCGAGUAUCUAUAGCCAGCAGAUCAAGCAGGAGGAUAAUUCAACAAUAACAAAAUCCUUGAUAAAUUUUUUCCUGUUUCUCUUCAAAAUAUCACAUUUCUUGUAACGUGACAUUGUUUUGAGAGCUAAGCAACCAGCAAUUUAUGCCUCAAUUUUCACACUUGAAUAAAGGCUGAUUUGUUUUCCGCGUCCGAGCUAUGACAUGUUGCUCCACCAGACUCUAACUUAAAAAAGGCUAAAUCUUCUGGGCUUGCAUUCCAGGGAGAAGCACUCCUUAAAACAUGCUGCUGCUGCCGCAGGCUUACACCCUGAGCUCCUGCAGACUCACAGCAAGUCACGGCUGACUUCUUACUUACGGGAACGCGGAGAGCCAUCGCCUACGUGUGUCCUGCCUAUGGAGAUGGCCAGAACACAAUACAGCACCUACUGCAGGAGGAGAGCUUUCCCCACAUGCCCUGUGGUCUCCCGGAGGGGUGUUUAACUGCCCCCGAAGGCGCUGGUGCUCACCUCAGCCUGGAGGGCCGCCAGGACAGGGCUCAGCCCUGGCUUUGCUUCUGCCACCUCCCGGCUGUGGGUCAAGCUGACUUCCAUGAGCACAGGCUCAUAAAUAUUUCCGUGGCUUAUGCAGCUGCGGAUGUUUUCAAGCAAAUAUAUUUAUUAUGUCAAUAACAAUAAAAAAAAGAUGACUUAUUCAAUAAUUCAUAACGGCUGCGGGGCUGCUGGAGGCGAGCAUGGCUCACUUUACUUUAGAUAACUUAUAAAUGCAGAUAAUUUCCAUGACAGACUGAAAUUACUUUCUGGUGAGUAUUUAUCUGAGAUUUAAUUUUCUUAUUAACCCAACCUGUUCUAGAAAAGUAGGCGGCCGUGCUGCUGUCUUCCUUGUUUUGCUCCCCCAGAUGCAAGCAGACGCAUCCAGAAGCCGUUGGUGGAGGCAAUGCAGCAGGAGAGGAGGAAGAAGAGGAGGCAGCGCCGUGCUCUGAGGGCACACAGCUUCCCCCUCCAUCCCGAGGUCAACCACUGGGCUCACGGCACCCAGCUAUCGACCUACAGAUAUCCCAGCAGCUCCAGCAUUUCGGGUCAUCAGGCAAGCUGCUGGGAGAGGGAGGUCAUUACCCACCCAUGUCUCCGCUGGACGAGGAAUGGUGAGCAGGGCAACUGCACCCCAAACUGCUCCGGCACUCCCAGGGCCUCUGGAAAGAGCAUCGUAAGCAAGCAACUACACUGAAUGAUCUGCUUGCUGGCUUGGCAAGAAGACAUGCGUCCCUUCUGCAGGGCGCUUGCACAACUGUCAUCACAUCACGUGCCCGUCAGGCUGCAGCCAGCAGACAGAGCAGGUGCCUUAAUUUCCUGUUCUGAUUAUUUUUCUGAGUUUCCCAAGUAGAAACCAGAAGCAGAUUGCCGCUGCCAGCUGAGCUCUUCUCACCUUGGGCUGCAGCCUGCAGGCGUGCUGCUGACUGCACUGCCGACCGACCUCAGUUGACACCUCAGUUGCAGCCAGCAGUUGAGAAGAGGCACUGCAUCUGAUCCACCUGGAUUCAGGACGGCGCUCUCAGGCCAUUACAAUAAAACUAAAUAGUUUUAAAAGACA